Molecule: small nuclear RNA, 85 nt
Filed under: Favella ehrenbergii
Lineage: Eukaryota; Ciliophora; Spirotrichea; Tintinnida; Xystonellidae
Description: partial Dictyostelium signal recognition particle
Source: RNAcentral
CGAUGACAGCGGCGUGGAUAUCGCUCACCUCCGCACGUAAGGGGAAUGGGUUGAAAACCAUCGAGUCGAGGAACUGGCUGGCGAG